RNAcentral lists this non-coding RNA (31 nucleotides) under Rattus norvegicus (Norway rat). The record is from RNAcentral. Lineage: Eukaryota; Metazoa; Chordata; Mammalia; Rodentia; Muridae.
UUCUAUUUUGAGAAGCCUCCUUAUUUAGAGU